AUUGAACGCUGGCGGCAGGCCUAACACAUGCAAGUCGAACGAGUGGCAGACGGGUGAGUAAUGUCUGGGAAACUGCCCGAUGGAGGGGGAUAACUACUGGAAACGGUAGCUAAUACCGCAUACCAGCGGAUGUGCCCAGAUGGGAUUAGCUAUUAGGUGGGGGAAUGGCUCACAUAGGAGACGAUCCCUAGCUGGUCUGAGAGGAUGCACAGCCACACUGGAACUGAGACACGGUCCAGACUCCUACGGGAGGCAGCAGUGGGGAAUAUUGCACAAUGGGCGCAAGCCUGAUGCAGCAAUGCCGCGUGUAUGAAGAAGGCCUUCGGGUUGUAAAGUACUUUCAGCGGGGAGGCGUUACCCGCAGAAGAAGCACCGGCUAACUCCGUGCCAGCAGCCGCGGUAAUUC
This 406-nucleotide ribosomal RNA is filed under the name uncultured bacterium. Its description in RNAcentral is "partial 16S ribosomal RNA". It matches the Rfam family "Bacterial small subunit ribosomal RNA", at positions 30 to 526 of the family's 1533-position model. The record is from RNAcentral.